UUGCCCUAGUAACGGCGAGUGAAGCGGCAACAGCUCAAAUUUGAAAUCUGGCUCUUUCAGAGUCCGAGUUGUAAUUUGCAGAGGGCGCUUUGGCGUUGGCAGCGGUCCAAGUUCUUUGGAACAGGACGUCACAGAGGGUGAGAAUCCCGUACGUGGUCGCUAGCCUUCGCCGUGUAAAGCCCCUUCGACGAGUCGAGUUGUUUGGGAAUGCAGCUCUAAAUGGGAGGUAAAUUUCUUCUAAAGCUAAAUACUGGCCAGAGACCGAUAGCGCACAAGUAGAGUGAUCGAAAGAUGAAAAGCACUUUGGAAAGAGAGUCAAAUAGCACGUGAAAUUGUUGAAAGGGAAGCGCUUGCAGCCAGACUUGCCUGUAGUUGCUUAUCCGGACUUUUGUCCGGUGCACUCUUCUGCGGGCAGGCCAGCAUCGGUUUGGGCGGUUGGAUAAAGGUCUCUGUCAUGUACCUCCUUUCGGGGAGGCCUUAUAGGGGAGACGACAUGCAACCAGCCUGGACUGAGGUCCGCGCAUCUGCUAGGAUGCUGGCGUAAUGGCUGUAAGCGGCCCGUCUUGAAACACGGACCAAGGAGUCUAACAUCUAUGCGAGUGUUUGGGUGUCAAGCCCAGACGCGUAAUGAAAGUGAACGGAGGUGGGAACCCUUUGGGUGCACCAUCGACCGAUCCUGAUGUCUUCG
This 688-nucleotide ribosomal RNA is filed under the name uncultured Archaeorhizomycetes. RNAcentral describes it as "eukaryotic LSU rRNA". It matches the Rfam family "Eukaryotic large subunit ribosomal RNA", at positions 75 to 782 of the family's 3401-position model. Lineage: Eukaryota; Fungi; Ascomycota; Archaeorhizomycetes. The record is from RNAcentral.